RNAcentral lists this ribosomal RNA (404 nucleotides) under uncultured bacterium. Its description in RNAcentral is "partial 16S ribosomal RNA". It matches the Rfam family "Bacterial small subunit ribosomal RNA", at positions 28 to 526 of the family's 1533-position model. The record is from RNAcentral.
GAUGAACGCUGACAGAAUGCUUCACACAUGCAAGUCAACUGUGGCGGACGGGUGAGUAACGCGUAAAGAACUUGCCUCACGGAUAGGGACAACAUUUGGAAACGAAUGCUAAUACCUGAUACUGUGAGAGAGCUUUGAGUCCCAUUAGCUAUUUGGAGAGGUAACGGCUCACCAAGGCGAUGAGGGGUAGCCGGCCUGUGAGGGUGAUAGGCCACAAGGUGACUGAGACACGGCCCUGACUCCUACGGGAGGCAGCAGUGGGGAAUAUUGGAAAAUGGACCAAAGUCUGAUCCAGCAAUUCUGUGUGCACGAUGAAGUUUUCGGAAUGUAAAGUGCUUUCAGUUGGGAAGCGGUACCAACAGAAGAAUUGACGGCUAAAUACGUGCCAGCCGCCGCGGUAAUAC